GAUUUUGAAGGAACAUGACAUUGAUGUUCCAGCAGAUGGACGAACACUAUUGAAAACACCUCAUUCUGGCAGUUUGAGAAUAACAGAAAAAUCAGGUGGCAAAUACACAUAUUUUGGAUUAAAGGAAGGUCUUACGCAUACUCUGUCUGAGCAAGACAUUUCAAAAUACGACCAGUUUGAGAUUUCUUUGAAUAUUGAUGGCCUACCCAUUUUCAAGUCCAAAAACCUCACAAUGUGGCCACUUCAGUGUGCUGUCAUCAACAUUGAUGAAGUGAAAAACAGUCCUUUUGUUGCUCUGGAGCAAAGCAACCAAAUGAUUUGGAGUUUUUGAGGGAUUUUAUGGAGGAGCUGCAAGAACUGAUGGAAACAGGCUUUAAAGGGAAGAGAAUUGUCCUCAAAAACAUCAUAUGUGAUGCACCAGCACGAGCCUUCAUCAAAGGAAUAGUUCAGUUUAAUGGCCGCUAUGGCUGUGACUUUUGUGAUGUAAAGGGAGUUCAUGAGAAUGGAACCUUUGUACACUAAGCCAUGUGACUCCAGAAUAAUUGGCAUGUUCAAAGGAUUUCGGAAUCACACUAAAAUGUUACAUACUGACACCACUCAACUGAGACAUAAAGCAAUCAUGAUACCUUUGUCCUUGAUUGAUAAAGAUGAAUACAAUCCGGUAGCGCUUAUACCGCUCAUGCGCUCAGUUUGAUUAGUUAGUCAAGUAAGUCAGCAAGGCAGGGUUUUUGCCUUUUUUAUUGCAUGUUAUCCUGAUUUUGAUCCGAAGACUAUGAAUAAUGUGUGUGUGUGUGUGUGUGUGUGUGUGUGUUUUUUUUUUUUUUUUUUUUACAUUGUACUAAAUGUCCCCACAAUUAAAGUGAACCACCUACAUUGUUUGGUAUGUGAUAUAUCAAUUAGACAAUAUUUAUUUAUACAGACAUAAAACAAACAUCCUUUGCUAUAUAACAAUCUAACUUUACAAUUUUUCAGAUCUGAAUACUAAGAUACUCCAACAAAUUCAAAUGCUGGAACAGAGACAAGCUGUCAUCAUGAAUGACUCGGCAAAAGUUAAGUCUGUUCUCAUGAAGCGGGCGGAAGAAGAUGCCCAUGAGGAACUUUUUAAACAACAACAGUGCUCCAGCUUUGAAACGUUUGAAGCCUUCUGUCAGAGGCUUGAAGAAGACAAAAAUUAUCGAGAGCUUUAUGUACACUAUCUCAUCCAUACUCACGGCAGCUCCAAUAUAGGUGAGAUGGUGAGACAGGCUUUAAAAAGCAUAGCGUCAGACAAUGUUCUCUGUCUGUAUAACAGAACGGGGAAAGAUGGGAAGAAAGUGUUGCCACCUGUGCUCCUGACGUGUUUGAAAAAAUGUGUCAGGUCUUUUCACAAACAAAAUAAAAUAGAGGUGAAGAAGCUAAAAGUAACUACCAGAACAACACCAGACGCGGAAUGUAUUCGCCAAGUAGAAAUUUUUUUGUCCAACGCCAACACCAGGCUGAAAAGGAAACCAAAUAAAGGAAAAAGCUGACUUUUUGUUUGAUUGUUUUUAUUAAUGGAAAUAAAGAAUGUGGGUGUAAAAGUUUGAGUUAACUGAAUCAUUUUAGAUAACAGUGAACUAACACAAUUAUUGCAUAGUGGUGUUAUAUGGUGAUCUCACAGU
Long non-coding RNA from Tachysurus fulvidraco (yellow catfish), 1640 nucleotides. RefSeq lists it as uncharacterized. The transcript is spliced from 5 exons. The record is from RefSeq and is a predicted model, not a curated record. NCBI's taxonomy places the organism in Eukaryota, Metazoa, Chordata, Actinopteri, Siluriformes, Bagridae.